RNAcentral lists this ribosomal RNA (406 nucleotides) under uncultured bacterium. Its description in RNAcentral is "partial 16S ribosomal RNA". It matches the Rfam family "Bacterial small subunit ribosomal RNA", at positions 30 to 526 of the family's 1533-position model. The record is from RNAcentral.
AUUGAACGCUGGCGGCAGGCCUAACACAUGCAAGUCGAACGAGUGGCGGACGGGUGAGUAAUGGCUUGGAAACUGCCUGAUGGACGGGGCAAACUACUGGAAACGGUAGCUAAUACCGCAUACCCUCAGAUGUGCACAGUUGGGAUUAUCUUGUUGGUGGGGUAACGGCUAUCAAAGGCGACGAUCCCUAGCUGGUCUGAGAGGAUGACCAGCCACACUGGAACUGAGACACGGUCCAGACUCCGACGGGAGGCAGCAGUGGGGAAUAUUGCACAAUGGGCGCAAGCCUGAUGCAGCCAAGCCGCGUGUGUGAAGAAGGCAGUCGGGUUGUAAAGUACGUUCAGCGGGGAGGCGUUACCCGCAGAAGAAGCACCGGCUAACUCCGUGCCAGCAGCCGCGGUAAUUC